Molecule: long non-coding RNA, 3010 nt
Organism: Tyto alba (common barn owl)
Lineage: Eukaryota; Metazoa; Chordata; Aves; Strigiformes; Tytonidae
Exons: 4
Source: RefSeq, a predicted model, not a curated record
AGUAAAAGUCACAGGUUUGAUUUUUUUUUUUUUUUUAUCCCUUUCUUUUUCUCAGCUGCCAAGGAAUAAAGCUGAACUGAGGGGGAAAGGAGCAUUUAUUCCCAGUGGGUAAAGAGAGGCCGGCUGAAAUGAAGGAUUUUCUUCAGCUAUAGCGCUCCCCGGGGCAGCAAACCCCACCUCUGAGUUUCCAGUAAACCUAUCGGGACCACAAAGCAAACAAAUCAAGAAAUAUCAAGGUGUAUUUACUCUCCAGUUAACCUGCUGCCCCGCUCCCUCUCCGGCACACAUUGGCAGCACGCAAGGGUGCACCCUGACGCUGCGUCCCGGGAAGGGGGGCACGGCUGCGAGCCCGGCCGCGAAGAGGUGACCGAAUGAGGACCUGACUCCCAAUUCCUGCUCUCCGGCCGUCGCAGCGUGGAAAGGGGGGAGCUGGAGGGGAGCCUGUGCUGGGAACGGCGGCGCUGGGGGGGCUGUGCCAGCCCUUUGCGCUGUCUGCUCUCAGCAAGGCAGAAAAUUGGUUGUAAAGGGGAAUUCGCACGUGCCUGUUUGCAGCUGGGGCCGGCGGAGCUUAUGUUAGAGGUCACCUGGACUCGGCCGCUGUCGAAUACUGGCUGCACGUGAGAGGGGUUUCCUGAACUCCAUGUUUCAUUUGGUGACACAUCCAGAACCUCUGGGAAGAGCUCCUCCACAUAAGCUUGUCCUCAAGUUUUUUGUAGGUCUUUUUUUUUUUUUUUUUUUUUUUCAUUUUUUUCUUCUUCCUUCUUUUAAAGAGAAUAAGGCAAUCCCAGCAUUUCAAUGAAGUUGCCUCCUAGCCUCUUGUUUCACAGCACGUGGCCUUCCUGAAGAACCAAGGAAAUGCUGAUGAAUUGGGCGUAGGAGAUUUGCCUGCCGUUCCUUCCCCCGUCUAAUGUUCCUCCCUGCGCGUCCUGCCCCUAGUCGCUCCGUUAACUUGUCUCUGCUUAUAACGCUCCGUACAUCACACACAACCGGGUGCUUUGCGCUCUGAUUAAGAUCAUGCUGUGUACAAGAAAAUACAAAUUAGCUCCGGCCUUUGGGCUCCUAACAAGUUUCCAGCGCCACUUUCAGCACCACAGAGAUUGUGUAACUCCGCGUCCUCCGUGCAGUGACGUCUCCCCCUCCGUCAUGAGCGGGGCUGGCUGCCGCACAUCCAGGUUCAGCUGCGAAUGCUUCAAGCAGCUUUUAGCACUGAAGGAGUAAGAGAGGUUGCCAGCCGCCGGGUGAAAUGCAGGAACUUGAUUUUUCUUGCUAGGGGACAACGAUGCGGGAAGGGAUAGAAGGAGGAGGAUUUCCUGGGUAAUUCCUCAAAUCUUGAUGUUUGUGCAAAUACUUCCCAGUUUAAUGUGCGCUGAGCGACCCGGGAGCCCAGCACAGGGAGAACUAAUGCCUCAGGACAGGAUUAACCCUUGAAGGAAGAGUACAGUAGCAUCUUACAUAAACUGUGGCUUAAGUUUGCCAGAUCUUUUAUGCAACGAAGCACAGGGUGCUUUCCUGCCUCCUCCGGGGAUUCAAGCCGGGUACGCUGCGCUGCACCAUUUCAGUGUUGCUGGCAGGAGGGCUGAGGCUGCAGCUAUCAUCUCGUGUUUUCAGCAGAAACCUUUAAGUCUCGGCAACUUCCUCCAAAGAUGCUGAACCAAACACUGUCCAGACCCGCAAGUGAACGAGCUGCGAACGACAUCACUGGCUCGAAACGGCGCGUGGGCACGACGUGGGCGAAUGUUCCCUGCACUGGGUGUUUUCUAAAGUCUCGGCUGCUCCUGCGCCACCUCUUUGUCUGCUGAGUAUCAUCUCUGGUAUUUGUGUAACCAGCCGUGCCCUGCCAGGUGAGAGCCACUGUCCUCUGACUGAUGCGUGUGAGCUCUUCCUCUGCUCUCAAGAGACAAUAAUCAAGGGAAGGUCCCCUCAGCGUGCCGAGCCCAGCCGGCUUCCUCGUUCUUUGCACUCGCGCCGCCGGGCAGCUUUGUUCCACGUCAAGUGAAAACUUCCUCCUCCAGCCCACGAACACUGGACUCACCCUGAACAAACCAAGGUCUCCUCGCCACGCAACGCAGACGCCUCCUGAAAUGCGGCAUGUGUGUGUUUUUAUGGGCACCUUGGAUAAAGUUACAAGUGCAGCUGGUGACUGCAGCUUCAAGAUAAAACUUGCGACGUGACAACCUGAGAAGCGGCAAACUAAGGAGCAAAGAAUUGUUCAUUUUCAGACUCCAGCGUGGCUACACACACUGACGCUUCGCUGCGCAAACACAGAGCAACAACUUGAACUUGAGCAGCUAGUUGUCUCUUGGUAGUAGUUGUUAUAUUCCCUGUAAUUGUUUCUGCAAGAGCUUGCAGGCCCUACCAUUAAUAUGCAUCUUCCUGGGUGUGCUUUUGAAUCAGGUCGGUAAAGGAGAACCAUUAUUUUUCAUGAGAAAGCCUUUUGGUAUGUAUUGUUUCCAGAAACCCUGAAAUCAUCAUUUGUUACCUUGCUGAUGUUUUUUUUUUUACCACUAAUAAGCUCAACAUCAGCUUUUUAGAGGACUGAUUUGUCUGUGGCCACAUUCCGAGUUGCUGAAAUACAACAAUUUGUUGGAAAUACGUCGGGGUAUCUUGGAAAACAUGAGUACCGAAACACCCACUAAUGACAUCCUGCAGGUCAGAACCACAUGCACUUUCUAAAUAGGUCAGGAUCUGGUAGUUCUUGUAAGACAUCCUUUAUGUUUCCUGUAUUUCAUCCUCCGUUCAGUCACACAGCCUGCGUGCUGGAUUUAUUUGUUUUACAUUUCUUUUUCUGUCCAAUUUGCUGCCAAGUCAUCAUCUCAUGUUGCUGUCUUAUAUAAAUGUUAACAUUAGCUAGCUUCACAAUAACAGCCUGGAAAGGAAACAUUUACUUCUGAGCUUCCCCCUGCCAAACAAACAUACAGUGUGGUUUUUUGUGGCUACUGGUGGUUAAGGGCAUGGGAUACAAAAUUAUAAUGCCGUAUGCGCGGUUAGUCUAUUACAGUUACGAUCACCA